UGGGGUGUAGCUCAGUGGUACAGCAUGUGCCUUAUAUGCACAGAGCCAUGGCUUGAAUCCCUAGCAUUGCUU
This 72-nucleotide transfer RNA is filed under the name Marmota monax (woodchuck). It matches the Rfam family "tRNA". Rfam says of the family: Transfer RNA (tRNA) molecules are approximately 80 nucleotides in length. Their secondary structure includes four short double-helical elements and three loops (D, anti-codon, and T loops). Lineage: Eukaryota; Metazoa; Chordata; Mammalia; Rodentia; Sciuridae. The record is from Rfam by way of RNAcentral.